UUCCAGGAAAUCACCAACUAGGCCAAAUAAUAACAAAUUCCAUGUUAAUGGAGUUUUGAAUGAGUUCCAAUUCCAUUCUGCUCCCUCCCAUGGUUGCCAGGCGACUGGUUUUCUCCGUGAUUGCAGGCUAUUGGUUUUCAAGGCUACUGUAGUGCUGGAGAGGGAAUGUCCUCCCUCCUAAUUACCAUGGAGUGGGUUCCUUCUGCUCCCAGCUCAAUGUCAUCUCUACAGAAAGCCCUUUGCUAACCAUCCCCUGAAACAGACUCAAAAGGAUUAAGUCACCCACCUGUGGACACACGGGGUGAAGAAACAAUUUGAAUGUCCAAUGAGACAGUGGAAACUGAAUAAACAUACUGCCUAAUAACAAGUGAUGGAGGCAAAAG
Long non-coding RNA from Equus caballus (horse), 383 nucleotides. RefSeq lists it as uncharacterized. The record is from RefSeq and is a predicted model, not a curated record. NCBI's taxonomy places the organism in Eukaryota, Metazoa, Chordata, Mammalia, Perissodactyla, Equidae.